AACGAACGCUGGCGGCAUGCCUAACACAUGCAAGUCGAACGAGACCUUCGGGUCUAGUGGCGCACGGGUGCGUAACGCGUGGGAACCUGCCCUUAGGUUCGGAAUAACUCCCCGAAAGGGGUGCUAAUACCGGAUAAUGUCUUCGGACCAAAGAUUUAUCGCCUUUGGAUGGGCCCGCGUUGGAUUAGCUAGUUGGUGGGGUAAAAGCCUACCAAGGCGACGAUCCAUAGCUGGUCUGAGAGGAUGAUCAGCCACACUGGGACUGAGACACGGCCCAGACUCCUACGGGAGGCAGCAGUGGGGAAUAUUGGACAAUGGGCGAAAGCCUGAUCCGGCAAUGCCGCGUGAGUGAUGAAGGCCUUAGGGUUGUAAAGCUCUUUUACCCGGGAUGAUAAUGACAGUACCGGGAGAAUAAGCGCCGGCUAACUCCGUG
Molecule: ribosomal RNA, 433 nt
Filed under: uncultured bacterium
Lineage: Bacteria
Description: partial 16S ribosomal RNA
Rfam family: Bacterial small subunit ribosomal RNA
Source: RNAcentral